UCGAAUGGCAUGAGUGUCUCGAUGGGUUGG
RNAcentral lists this non-coding RNA (30 nucleotides) under Mus musculus (house mouse). The record is from RNAcentral. Lineage: Eukaryota; Metazoa; Chordata; Mammalia; Rodentia; Muridae.